This 301-nucleotide ribosomal RNA is filed under the name uncultured bacterium. Its description in RNAcentral is "partial 16S ribosomal RNA". It matches the Rfam family "Bacterial small subunit ribosomal RNA", at positions 509 to 807 of the family's 1533-position model. The record is from RNAcentral.
CAGCAGCCGCGGUAAUACGAAGGGUGCAAGCGUUAAUCGGAAUUACUGGGCGUAAAGCGUGCGUAGGCGGUGAGUUAAGUCUGUUGUGAAAUCCCCGGGCUCAACCUGGGAAUGGCAAUGGAUACUGGCAAGCUAGAGUGUGUCAGAGGAUGGUGGAAUUCCCGGUGUAGCGGUGAAAUGCGUAGAGAUCGGGAGGAACAUCAGUGGCGAAGGCGGCCAUCUGGGACAACACUGACGCUGAGGCACGAAAGCGUGGGGAGCAAACAGGAUUAGAUACCCCUGUAGUCCCUGUCUCUUAUAC